This is a long non-coding RNA of Terrapene triunguis (Three-toed box turtle), 550 nucleotides long. RefSeq lists it as uncharacterized. The record is from RefSeq and is a predicted model, not a curated record. The transcript has 3 exons. NCBI's taxonomy places the organism in Eukaryota, Metazoa, Chordata, Testudines, Emydidae.
AUUGCUGACCCUGGCCUCCCUGACUGGCAUGUGGUGGAGGUGGAGGUGACCGGCCCGUCCGGCGAGCGCAGGGACCAGGCCUUCACGGUCACCACCAGCCGCAGGAACCCAGCCUCCCCCGGCGCUGUCACCGGGGCGGCAACUUUCCCUUCUUUCUGGAGCAGCCUGCUGGCCUGCCAGGGCCACCGAGGGCAUGUCGUUUUGUGCUGAUGCUGGUUUGGGGCCGGAGGGACCCGGCUGAAGCCAGUGGGGCUGGUAGUGUGUGUUGCUGGAGGGGGGGGUGUCCCCUCUGACUAAGAGAUCAUUAAAGAGCCGGGUGGCAGGGAGGAAGGGCGGGAAACCUUUCAAACUUGGUCCCAGAGGCAUGAUGGGGGGUGUAGUUCUUGCUCCCCGGAGCUGAGUGGGCGUCACCGGGUAUGUAACCCCCUCCUGCAGAGACUGAUGUCGGCUGUUGCUUUUGGGUUAUGACGGGAACGGUACAGUAGAACCUCAGCAUUAUGAACACCCGAGUGAUGAACUGACCGGUCAACAACACCUAGGGUGACCAGAC